RNAcentral lists this long non-coding RNA (254 nucleotides) under Pogona vitticeps (central bearded dragon). RNAcentral describes it as "lncRNA (ENSPVIG00000023047.1)". The record is from RNAcentral. Lineage: Eukaryota; Metazoa; Chordata; Lepidosauria; Squamata; Agamidae.
CAAAGAAUGGCCUCUUUACUCCAAGUAUAAUCUCAUCAGUAAUAUCUUUAUUUCCAUCCAGAUAAAAACAACAGAAAGCCAGUGUACAUCCAGUUGCUGAAAUAAUAGUUUAAACAGUCCACUUAACAGUUAUGGGACAGAUCAAGAGCAUGUGGCCCUGCAAUGUGUAGCCUGUAUAAUUAAAAAUUGUAAACCGCCCGGAGAGUGCUUGUAGCGCUAUGGGGCGGUAUAUGAGUCCAAUAAAUAAAUAAAUA